This 394-nucleotide long non-coding RNA is filed under the name Bos taurus (domestic cattle). RNAcentral describes it as "long non-coding RNA NONBTAT021911". The record is from RNAcentral. Lineage: Eukaryota; Metazoa; Chordata; Mammalia; Artiodactyla; Bovidae.
CUGAAAUAAGUGACUAGAUGUAGAUGUAUAGGAGAAGUUCUGUCUACCUGUGUAGUCCUAAGAUUGAUGCUUCCUGUCUGACCUUAGAAGAAACCACACCACUCAAGUAAUUGUAAUUUUUUAGUCAGGCAUUAUUUUGUUGGGUCUAAGGGAAAUAAAAUCCCAUAUGUGUGUAAGUCUUCAAGAAGUUUAAAAAGAUAGGCCUGUUGGUGACAUCCCUGCAUAUAAGGAAAGGAAUGCUAAUGUAAUUCUGUUCUUUCUUUAUGUCUUUAAAAUCAAAUGUUAUUAUAUAGUAGACAAUUCUCUGAAAUAGGUAUUUUUACUAAGAAUGAAGGGGAAAUUUUUGUGGCUGUUUUUCUUUAUGAAACAAAUAAACAGGUGUAUGUAUACACUU